UAUAAGUCAUAGUAUUUAUGAGGGGAAAGCUUGGAAGUCCGCAGCUCAGACAGCAUCUGCGCAGAAUACUUCAAAGCAUCUUUGAGAUUGUUGGAGUCCAGAGAUCGAUGCAUAUAGAACGCAUUCUGCUGGAGGCCCGCGAUCCCAGCAGCAAGCCACUUCUCCUCGUCCUCAACUCCGUCGGAAAUCAUUCUUGUCGCCGUUUUUCGUCCGUGUGUGCACAAUUCUUCCUCUGCAGAUCAGUUGCGAUUCG
This 253-nucleotide unclassified non-coding RNA is filed under the name Hevea brasiliensis (rubber tree). Lineage: Eukaryota; Viridiplantae; Streptophyta; Magnoliopsida; Malpighiales; Euphorbiaceae. The record is from RNAcentral.